Panicum virgatum (switchgrass) is the source of this 280-nucleotide long non-coding RNA. RefSeq lists it as uncharacterized. Lineage: Eukaryota; Viridiplantae; Streptophyta; Magnoliopsida; Poales; Poaceae. The record is from RefSeq and is a predicted model, not a curated record. The transcript has 2 exons.
UGUUUCUGACAUUCGCCUGGAUGAAAAUGAAAGGAAGCAAAUAAUCGCCGUACCAAUCCUUAGGCGUGGAAAAUUGCGGCUCUGUUUCAAAUGGUCGAUAAUACUCCUCAUCCUGUAAUGUAUCCAGUUAUUAGGUCUAAUAACUAAGCCUGAUAGUUUUGAGGCACUAGAGUUAUAAGUAUAACUAUGUGGUGUAUUAACAUAUUGAAGAAGAUCUCCACAAGGAUUAAAGUUCCAAGUUCCACUGGGAGAAAAAAAAAAGAGGCAAAACAAUCAAUCU